AUUUAUGAGCAGGGAGGGGAGAUGUAGUAUUGCCUGGUGGUCCGGUGUCAUGGAAAGCACAGAGGGGGCCCAGCAAGCGCUUACUUACCUUCCCAGCAGCUCCCUGUCUAAAUCUCGUGGUCUGUGUGCUGCGCGGAGCGUUGCCAUGGUAACCCGUGGCAACGCUCUGGCGGCCACGGAACUCGCGAGAUUUACACGGGGGAGCUGCUGGGAAGGUAAGUAAGCGCUUGCUGUGGGCCCCCCCCAGAACCGCCGGGCUUGUAAUGUAUUAUCGGCAAUAUCGGUAUCUCUAUUGGCCAAUACCGAUAUUGCCGAAAGUACUGAAUAUUGGCCAGACCGAUAAUCGGUCGAUCCCUAAUACACAGUAUCCUAUAUAAUAUAUAGCCACUAUCUGCUAUCCCCUUCAUAACUGGGAAUGUUUCAGGACCGCCAUGAUGGAAAAUCAAAACACCUUGCUCUAAAGAAGUUAAACACCUGCAGUAUAAAGCAAUGAAACUUUUUUUUUUUUCUCUAUAAAACGUCCUAAGGUGCAGCUGAUGUAACUGACAUUUCAGUGGAUCUGUUUUACAACCUCAGUUACUAGGAAAAAUAAGACCUUUUUCUUGUAAUAAGAAAUACCAUUUAAAAAAAAAAAAAAAAAAGUUGUGUUUUGGCACUAUUGUUUCCUUAACUAAUUCUCCUCCUUUUAGAUCCCUGGAUAAUGUUUCAUACGGGGGCUAGAAAGAUUCAACAUAUAUAUAACAAUUUGGGGUGCACUGUUUUGGCAGUUUAGGUCUAAAGAAUAUUUAUAGAAUAUAGAAUGCUUUUUUUUUUUUUUUUUAAAUUGUGUACGAACUGUUCAAUGUUUUGACAGAUCUAUUUGUAAAGGAUAAGUCAUUUUAUUUUUGUUCUUUUGCUAUUAUUGAUAACCGUUCUAGUCCUGCAGUAAAUUACAUCAUUGUUUGUAAGUCCUUUCGGACUUUGUGCUUACUAUCGUAUCAGACUUGAUAUUAAAUGUAGUGGGUUUUUUUUUGUUUUAACCUUUACCUAAAAUGUAAAAGUGAUAUAUUUUUAAUUCUAAUUUUUACUUUUAAAAGACCUAAUUUGGUGGCAGUGAACCUUGGCACUCAGGCUGGCUAGGCAUCAUGAGAAUAUUUCAUUCACUUGCACCUGUGGUUGAAAGGAUUACAAACACCGGCCCGUGUUAUAGUUGGCCAUCAUGCAUCUCUCCAGCUGUUACACUUCCCUUGUUGCAUUGCAAUUAGGAAUUGUUUCUACAACUGCCGGAGAGCUUCUGAUUGGCUACCGCUGGCCCAACUGAUUUGCUAAUCAAUAAUGUGGGAUUCGUGAGGUUUUUUACAGAUGUAUGAAUUCUGGAUGUGAAACACAAACAUCAAACAUUUGUAGUGUUUAAUAUAUUGUGUAGUUUGUGUUUUUAGUGUUAUUUAGUGAUCAUUUUAAUAAAUGUACCUUAUCAGGUGUGGGAGCUAUAUUUACCUGUCUGCUUGUCUGGAGGUUAUACUCCAUUACUCACUGUUUUGUAUUUUUUCAAAUGUACCUAUUAAAUCUUACAAGGUC
Molecule: long non-coding RNA, 1557 nt
Filed under: Pelobates cultripes (western spadefoot toad)
Lineage: Eukaryota; Metazoa; Chordata; Amphibia; Anura; Pelobatidae
Source: RNAcentral